MicroRNA precursor from Cercocebus atys (sooty mangabey), 73 nucleotides. Lineage: Eukaryota; Metazoa; Chordata; Mammalia; Primates; Cercopithecidae. The record is from Ensembl.
GGUUGGUGCAAAAGUAACUGCGGUUUUUGCCAUUACUUUUAAUACCAAAAAACCCCAAUUACUUUUGCACCAA